GAUGAACGCUGGCGGCGUGCCUAAUACAUGCAAGUCGAGCGAACGGACGAGAAGCUUGCUUCUCUGAUGUUAGCGGCGGACGGGUGAGUAACACGUGGAUAACCUACCUAUAAGACUGGGAUAACUUCGGGAAACCGGAGCUAAGACCGGAUGAUAUUUUGAACCGCAUGGUUCAAAAGUGAAAGACGGUCUUGCUGUCACUUAUAGAUGGAUCCGCGCUGCAUUAGCUAGUUGGUAAGGUAACGGCUUACCAAGGCAACGAUGCAUAGCCGACCUGAGAGGGUGAUCGGCCACACUGGAACUGAGACACGGUCCAGACUCCUACGGGAGGCAGCAGUAGGGAAUCUUCCGCAAUGGGCGAAAGCCUGACGGAGCAACGCCGCGUGAGUGAUGAAGGUCUUCGGCUCGUAAAACUCUGUUAUUAGGGAAGAACAUAUGUGUAAGUAACUGUGCACAUCUUGACGGUACCUAAUCAGAAAGCCACGGCUAACUACGUG
This 497-nucleotide ribosomal RNA is filed under the name uncultured bacterium. RNAcentral describes it as "partial 16S ribosomal RNA". It matches the Rfam family "Bacterial small subunit ribosomal RNA", at positions 28 to 507 of the family's 1533-position model. The record is from RNAcentral.